CUAUGUGUUUAAAAGGAUAGAAGUUCUAGCCUAAGACACAUACCAAAGGAAGGUGAAAGCAAGCUGUUCAGCAAUCACCAGGGGUCGACUCUAGUUCUGAAGCCCAGCCACUGGACAGAGAGGUGUGGAAGGAAAUGAAAUUCACAUUCCUGAAAUGAAGAAAGGCCAAUUCAUCUCCACCUUUACCCUCUUCUGCCGGAAGGCAGGAGCCACGCCCAGCCUCUUAGGUAAUCAAACUGAGCACCUGGAUAAAGAAACCCCACCUCCCACGGUGCUGAUAAGGACCGGAAAUUGGCUUGUCAAAGUGACGCAGGAAAAUGGAGCCGGCAGUGCAAAGUGACUCCAGGAGUUACAGCCCCAUUUUCUGAUUUCCAGAGGAAUAAUCCAAACCUCUCCGAGAUUGAGGAACCUGCCUCAAGUAAUGGCUGGAAAGGAAGCUCAAGCCUAAAGG
This is a long non-coding RNA of Cercocebus atys (sooty mangabey), 451 nucleotides long. RefSeq lists it as uncharacterized. NCBI's taxonomy places the organism in Eukaryota, Metazoa, Chordata, Mammalia, Primates, Cercopithecidae. The record is from RefSeq and is a predicted model, not a curated record. The transcript has 5 exons.